GACGAAGGGGGCUAGCGUUGUUCGGAAUUACUGGGCGUAAAGCGAGUGUAGGUGGUUGUCCAAGUUGGAUGUGAAAGCCUUGAGCUCAACUCAAGAAAUGCAUUCAGGACUGGGCGACUAGAGGACCGGAGAGGAUAGUGGAAUUCCCAGUGUAGUGGUGAAAUACGUAGAGAUUGGGAAGAACACCAGUGGCGAAGGCGGCUAUCUGGACGGUUUCUGACACUAAGACUCGAAAGCGUGGGGAGCAAACCGG
RNAcentral lists this ribosomal RNA (253 nucleotides) under uncultured bacterium. RNAcentral describes it as "partial 16S ribosomal RNA". It matches the Rfam family "Bacterial small subunit ribosomal RNA", at positions 524 to 776 of the family's 1533-position model. The record is from RNAcentral.